AUGAAUGACAGUGUGUUUUGUGCAGCGGCACGGGCAGAUGGAUGGGAUAUUAGCCUUACAUGUCAGCCGCCCAACUCACCUGAUUUGAACAUUCUUGACUUAGGGUUGUUUGCGGCACUUCAGGCUCUUUCUGAGAAGAUGUCCCCCGGUAAAAUUGCUGGUAUUGUUGCGGAGGUGAAAAAAGCAUAUGACAUGUACCCGGCCAAGAGAAGCAACCGUAUUUUCCCGACCCUUCAGUCAUGCAUGCGCAAGGUACUGAAGCAGAAAGGAGGUAACCGGUACAAGGUCCCGCAAAUGAGGAAGUCAUUUCCGGCGGCACUCGAAAUGCUUCCGGACGUAGUACCCUGCGAGGCUGAUGUUGUAAUUGCUGCUAUUGAGGCCCUUCCAGAUGCUUGA
RNAcentral lists this ribosomal RNA (396 nucleotides) under Triticum aestivum (bread wheat). RNAcentral's name for it is "partial small subunit ribosomal RNA". The record is from RNAcentral. Lineage: Eukaryota; Viridiplantae; Streptophyta; Magnoliopsida; Poales; Poaceae.